Molecule: non-coding RNA, 853 nt
Organism: Camellia sinensis
Lineage: Eukaryota; Viridiplantae; Streptophyta; Magnoliopsida; Ericales; Theaceae
Source: RefSeq, a predicted model, not a curated record
AAUUCUUGGGCGUAGCAAAUCUGAACAAAUUAAUUGUGAGAAAUUGUAGUGAGGUGGCAGAGGUUUUUCAACUUGAGGAGCUAAAUGUUGGAGAAGGACAACAUGUUAGGCCAUUAAUUGAAGUAAGAAUGAUGGAAUUGGAUGCAUUACCUCAGUUGACAUGUUUGUGGAACAAGGAUCCCCAUGGAAUUCUGGGCCUUCAAAUCCUACAAUACCUGACAAUUAAGAAAUGUUCCCUCUUGAGAAAGCUAUUCACAUGUUCCACAGCCAUGGCUCUUCAACAACUUAAAGUACUUUAUUUGGAGUCUUGUCCGGUGAUGGAAGAAGUUAUUGCAGCAACAGAGGAUGGGCUCAAGGAAGUGAUUGAUGAUGUGAUUGAAUUCCCAAAGUUGGAGUGGCUAAUACUGAAAGAUCUACCAAACCUCAACAAUUUCUGUAAUGCGAAAUAUAAUUUUAAUUUGCCAUCAUUACAAAGAGUUGUUCUGAAGAGGUGUCCGAAUAUGCACAACUUUACUUUUGGACAAGUACGCAUGUCACAGAUAUUUGUAAGUACACAUGGCAAUGAUGGCCUUCAAAUAGAAGAUCUCAAUAAGUAUUUAAAGGAACGACUUCUUUUGAAAGGAGAGGAAUGCGCAACCGUGGAUGAAAAUGAUCACCGCUGCGACGAAGUACGGUUCUCCUACCUUGAGCGGCUAUAGGAGUAAAACAGGUAAUUGAUAGAAUCAUUGGCAGCCAGCAAACCUUUUCCCUAUUAGGACACUCUCUGUUACCUUGGUGCAACUUGAGUUCAGUUAUAUAUGAUCGAGUUCAAGUUGCUGAGAUUGGAGUAUGCUGGAUUACCCUCUUACAGCCA